GACGAACGCUGGCGGCGUGCCUAAUACAUGCAAGUAGAACGCUGAAGAGAGGAGCUUGCGCUUCUGGGAUGAGUUGCGAACGGGUGAGUAACGCGUAGGUAACCUGCCUGGUAGCGGGGGAUAACUAUUGGAAACGAUAGCUAAUACCGCAUAAAAUGGAUUAUCGCAUGAUAAUCCAUUGAAAGGUGCAAAUGCAUCACUACCAGAUGGACCUGCGUUGUAUUAGCUAGUUGGUGGGGUAACGGCUCACCAAGGCGACGUUACAUAGCCGACCUGAGAGGGUGCGCGGCCACGCUGGGACUGAGACACGGCCCAGACUCCUACGGGAGGCAGCCGUAGGGAAUCUUCGGCAAUGGACGGAAGUCUGACCGAGGAACGCCGCGUGAGUGCAGAAGGUUGUCGGGUCGUGAAGCUCUGUUGUAAGAGAAGAACGAGUGUGAGAGUGGAAAGUUCACACUGUGACGGUACCUUACCAGAAAGCGACGGCUAACUACGUG
Molecule: ribosomal RNA, 497 nt
Filed under: uncultured bacterium
Lineage: Bacteria
Description: partial 16S ribosomal RNA
Rfam family: Bacterial small subunit ribosomal RNA
Source: RNAcentral